GGGGGGGGGAAUUAUGUGCUUUCAGGUGAAUUCACUCUUCACGAAGAUUCUGAAGCAACGUGGAGUUACCAACAUUUCUGAUCGACAGGUCACCUGUCUGCAAAGGUGGUCCAGAACCAGGAGCUCACUCCAGCAACUCUGCAGAAGAACCAUCUGGUCCUCCACCUUUUGGUUUCCAAUGGAACUACGUGGAAGUGAAGAGCUGCGGAACUGCUGACCUUUGAGAAACGUUCACUGCACUUUUCCUUGACGGCGGUACAAAAGUUCAGUUUUCUGCAAGGCAAGCGACUAAAUAGGGAAGCAUGAAAAAGCAGCCUGACCUCGCCGCAAUACUCUGAGAUGAACUCGUUCUUCUGCACGGGCUCUUUGAUGAAGGUGCCCCAUCCGGCGACGUCCGACGGCGCCAGCAGGAGGUGCUGUCAAAUGCCCUUUACGGCGCGCGCAUUUGCAACUUCCUGUUUGGCCCGAGCGGCGCGCUGCUACGGGAAAAAGGCGGCGCGCGAGGGUCUGGGGCGGAGGGGAGGAGGACGCCGGGCCGCUGAAUCGCAACGCACGCACGCAAAAUCGGAUUUUCUGCAUUAUGUCGGCCCUGCUUGCCAACUCGUCUUCGUGUUGUAGCUUUAACAUGGACAAAAGUGAAAUGUGGGGGUUUGCUGCAGAAGAAGAUCAUUUAUUAUUAUGAUGAUGAAUCCAAUUGGCUGUGCUCUCACCUUUGAAUGCAGCAAUGCUUGUAAAUCACAGAAAAACGUCGUGCAGAAAAUAUUGGCAAUAUUUAGAGAAAAAAAAGCCAUACUAUUUUUGUUUUCAUUUUUUAAGAGAAUGUGGGGGGGGGGGAAAUCCCAUACAAAUGCAGAUUCUGCAAUUAAACAGUUUUUCUCAAUAGUUUUUUUUGUGUUGGUAUUUUUAGGUCUAAUUAUCACCGUAUUUUUCGCAUGAUAAGGCGCACCGCAUUAUAAGGCAGGCACACCUUCAAUGAAUGGCCUAUUUUAAGAAUUUUUUCAUAUAUAAGGCGCACCGCAUUGUAAGGCGGAUAGAAUAAGACGCUACAGUAGAGGCUGGGGUUACGUUAUGCAUCCAUUAGAUGGCGCUGCACUGAAGGCUCACUAUUGAUCCAUAUAUAAGGCGCACCCGAUUAUAAGGCGCACCUUCGGCUUUUGAGAGAAUUAAAGGCUUUUAGGUGCGCCUUAUAGUGUGGAAAAUACUACUGUAUUGUACUGUAUUUUUUAUUUUAUUUUUUUCAUUUUUUUAUUUGUAUUUUAUUAAUUUAUUUUUUCCCAAAGAGGCAAAGUAAUGUGAUAUUUUGGAAAAAUAAUUCCAGUAAAUUUACCAUUUUCUCAUUUUCAAUGGGAGAACAUCGAGCAUAACACUAAAUGUAAGCAGAUUUUUAUGGAUCUUGUUUUGUGUAGCUGGUACAGAAGUCCCCCCAAAAAAAUGGA
Syngnathoides biaculeatus (alligator pipefish) is the source of this 1436-nucleotide long non-coding RNA. RefSeq lists it as uncharacterized. NCBI's taxonomy places the organism in Eukaryota, Metazoa, Chordata, Actinopteri, Syngnathiformes, Syngnathidae. The transcript has 4 exons. The record is from RefSeq and is a predicted model, not a curated record.